RNAcentral lists this ribosomal RNA (507 nucleotides) under uncultured bacterium. Its description in RNAcentral is "bacterial SSU rRNA". It matches the Rfam family "Bacterial small subunit ribosomal RNA", at positions 24 to 518 of the family's 1533-position model. The record is from RNAcentral.
UCAGGAUGAACGCUAGCUACAGGCUUAACACAUGCAAGUCGCGGGGCAUCAUGGUGUGUAGCAAUACACACUGAUGGCGACCGGCGGAUGGGUGAGUAACGCGUAUCCAACCUGGCCCUAUCUCGGGCACAGCCCCUCGAAAGAGGGAUUAAUUCCCGAUGUUCCCACGAGUUCGCAUGUUCUUGUGGGCAAAGGCCUUUGCCGGAUAGGGAUGGGGAUGCGUUCCAUUAGGCAGUCGGCGGGUAACGGCCCACCGAGCCUUCGAUGGAUAGGGGUUCUGAGAGGAAGGCCCCCCACACUGGGACUGAGACACGGCCCAGACUCCUACGGGAGGCAGCAGUGAGGAAUAUUGGUCAAUGGCGGCAACGCUGAACCAGCCAAGUAGCGUGAAGGGAUUACGGCCCUAUGGGUUUUAAACCUCUUUUGUUGGGGAGCAACCUGUGCCACUUGUGGCACACUGCGAGUACCCUUCGAAUAAGCAUCGGCUAACUCCGUGCCAGCAGCAGC